CUUCCGUUAAAGGGUGCCUGCGGAAGGAUCAUUACAGAAUGAAAAGUGCUUAACUGCAUUUUUUCUUACACAUGUGUUUUUCUUUUUUUGAAAACUUUGCUUUGGUAGGCCUUCUAUAUGGGGCCUGCCAGAGAUUAAACUCAACCAAAUUUUAUUUAAUGUCAACCGAUUAUUUAAUAGUCAAAACUUUCAACAACGGAUCUCUUGGUUCUCGCAUCGAUGAAGAACGCAGCGAAAUGCGAUAAGUAAUAUGAAUUGCAGAUAUUCGUGAAUCAUCGAAUCUUUGAACGCACAUUGCGCCCUUUGGUAUUCCAAAGGGCAUGCCUGUUUGAGCGUCAUUUCUCCCUCAAACCCUCGGGUUUGGUGUUGAGCGAUACGCUGGGUUUGCUUGAAAGAAAGGCGGAGUAUAAACUAAUGGAUAGGUUUUUUCCACUCAUUGGUACAAACUCCAAAACUUCUUCCAAAUUCGACCUCAAAUCAGGUAGGACUACCCGCUGAACUUAAGCAUAUCAAUAAGGCGGAGGAA
This 526-nucleotide ribosomal RNA is filed under the name Lodderomyces parapsilosis. RNAcentral describes it as "eukaryotic LSU rRNA". The stretch from base 185 to 338 matches the Rfam family "5.8S ribosomal RNA". Lineage: Eukaryota; Fungi; Ascomycota; Pichiomycetes; Serinales; Debaryomycetaceae. The record is from RNAcentral.